Molecule: ribosomal RNA, 254 nt
Filed under: uncultured bacterium
Lineage: Bacteria
Description: partial 16S ribosomal RNA
Rfam family: Bacterial small subunit ribosomal RNA
Source: RNAcentral
UACGUAGGGUGCGAGCGUUAAUCGGAAUUACUGGGCGUAAAGCGUGCGCAGGCGGUUUUGUAAGCCAGAUGUGAAAUCCCCGGGCUUAACCUGGGAAUGGCAUUUGGGACUGCAAGGCUGGAGUUUGGCAGAGGAGACUGGAAUUCCUGGUGUAGCAGUGAAAUGCGUAGAUAUCAGGAGGAAUACCGAUGGCGAAGGCAGGUCUCUGGGCUGAAACUGACGCUGAGGAGCGAAAGCGUGGGGAGCGAACAGGA